AUACGUAGGUGGCGAGCGUUAUCCGGAUUUACUGGGUGUAAAGGGCGCGUAGGCGGGGGCGCAAGUCAGGUGUGAAAUCUAUGGGCUUAACCCAUAAACUGCACUUGAAACUGCAUCUCUUGAGUGCUGGAGAGGUAGAUGGAAUUCCUUGUGUAGCGGUGAAAUGCGUAGAUAUAAGGAAGAACACCAGUGGCGAAGGCGAUCUACUGGACAGUAACUGACGCUGAGGCGCGAAAGCGUGGGGAGCAAACAGGAUUAGAUACCCUGGUAGUCCACGCUGUAAACGAUGAAUACUAGGUGUGGGGGGACUGACCCCCUCCGUGCCGCAGUUAACACAAUAAGUAUUCCACCUGGGGAGUACGGCCGCAAGGUUGAAACUCAAAUGAAUUGACGGGG
RNAcentral lists this ribosomal RNA (396 nucleotides) under uncultured bacterium. Its description in RNAcentral is "partial 16S ribosomal RNA". It matches the Rfam family "Bacterial small subunit ribosomal RNA", at positions 523 to 918 of the family's 1533-position model. The record is from RNAcentral.